This 301-nucleotide ribosomal RNA is filed under the name uncultured bacterium. RNAcentral describes it as "partial 16S ribosomal RNA". It matches the Rfam family "Bacterial small subunit ribosomal RNA", at positions 509 to 808 of the family's 1533-position model. The record is from RNAcentral.
CAGCCGCCGCGGGAAUACAGAGGGUGCGAGCGUUAAUCGGAUUUACUGGGCGUAAAGCGUGCGUAGGCGGCUUUUUAAGUCGGAUGUGAAAUCCCUGAGCUUAACUUAGGAAUUGCAUUCGAUACUGGGAAGCUAGAGUAUGGGAGAGGAUGGUAGAAUUCCAGGUGUAGCGGUGAAAUGCGUAGAGAUCUGGAGGAAUACCGAUGGCGAAGGCAGCCAUCUGGCCUAAUACUGACGCUGAGGUACGAAAGCAUGGGGAGCAAACAGGAUUAGAUACCCCCAGUAGUCCCUGUCUCUUAUA